This 424-nucleotide ribosomal RNA is filed under the name Verrucomicrobiota bacterium. RNAcentral's name for it is "Verrucomicrobia bacterium partial 16S ribosomal RNA". It matches the Rfam family "Bacterial small subunit ribosomal RNA", at positions 355 to 776 of the family's 1533-position model. The record is from RNAcentral. Lineage: Bacteria; Pseudomonadati; Verrucomicrobiota.
UGAGGAAUAUUGGUCAAUGGGCGAGAGCCUGAACCAGCCAAGUAGCGUGCAGGAUGACGGCCCUAUGGGUUGUAAACUGCUUUUAUAUGGGAAUAAAGUGAGGGACGUGUCCCUUAUUGCAUGUACCAUACGAAUAAGGACCGGCUAAUUCCGUGCCAGCAGCCGCGGUAAUACGGAAGGUCCAGGCGUUAUCCGGAUUUAUUGGGUUUAAAGGGAGCGUAGGCUGUUUGUUAAGCGUGUUGUGAAAUGUAGGAGCUCAACUUCUAGAUUGCAGCGCGAACUGUCAGACUUGAGUGCGCACAACGUAGGCGGAAUUCAUGGUGUAGCGGUGAAAUGCUUAGAUAUCAUGAAGAACUCCGAUUGCGAAGGCAGCUUACGGGAGCGCAACUGACGCUGAAGCUCGAAGGUGCGGGUAUCGAACAGG